This 1417-nucleotide ribosomal RNA is filed under the name Providencia rettgeri. RNAcentral's name for it is "partial 23S ribosomal RNA". It matches the Rfam family "Bacterial large subunit ribosomal RNA", at positions 162 to 1617 of the family's 2925-position model. The record is from RNAcentral. Lineage: Bacteria; Pseudomonadati; Pseudomonadota; Gammaproteobacteria; Enterobacterales; Morganellaceae.
AUACAUAGUCAAACGAAGCGAACCGGGGGAACUGAAACAUCUCAGUACCCCGAGGAAAAGAAAUCAACCGAGAUUCCCCUAGUAGCGGCGAGCGAACGGGGAGCAGCCCAGAGUCUUAAUCAGCAUUAGUAUCAGGAGAACGGUCUGGAAAGUCCGGCAGUAAAGGGUGAUAGCCCCGUAUCUGAAGAUAUUAGUGUUGUGAACUCGACGAGUAGGGCGGGACACGUGUUAUCCUGUCUGAAUAUGGGGGGACCAUCCUCCAAGGCUAAAUACUCCUGAUUGACCGAUAGUGAACCAGUACCGUGAGGGAAAGGCGAAAAGAACCCCGGCGAGGGGAGUGAAAUAGAACCUGAAACCGUGUACGUACAAGCAGUGGGAGCCUUGAUUUAUCAGGGUGACUGCGUACCUUUUGUAUAAUGGGUCAGCGACUUAUAUUCUGUAGCAAGGUUAACCGUAUAGGGGAGCCGUAGGGAAACCGAGUCUUAACUGGGCGAAUGAGUUGCAGGGUAUAGACCCGAAACCCGGUGAUCUAGCCAUGGGCAGGUUGAAGGUUGGGUAACACUAACUGGAGGACCGAACCGACUAAUGUUGAAAAAUUAGCGGAUGACUUGUGGCUGGGGGUGAAAGGCCAAUCAAACCGGGAGAUAGCUGGUUCUCCCCGAAAGCUAUUUAGGUAGCGCCUCGUGAACUCAUCUUCGGGGGUAGAGCACUGUUUCGACUAGGGGGUCAUCCCGACUUACCAACUCGAUGCAAACUACGAAUACCGAAGAAUGUUAUCACGGGAGACACACGGCGGGUGCUAACGUUCGUCGUGAAGAGGGAAACAACCCAGACCGCCAGCUAAGGUCCCAAAGUCAUAGUUAAGUGGGAAACGAAGUGGGAAGGCUCAGACAGCCAGGAUGUUGGCUUAGAAGCAGCCAUCAUUUAAAGAAAGCGUAAUAGCUCACUGGUCGAGUCGGCCUGCGCGGAAGAUGUAACGGGGCUAAACUAUGCACCGAAGCUGCGGCAGCGAUAUGUAAAUAUUGUUGGGUAGGGGAGCGUUCUGUAAGCCUGUGAAGGUGUACUGUGAGGUAUGCUGGAGGUAUCAGAAGUGCGAAUGCUGACAUAAGUAACGAUAAUGCGGGUGAAAAACCCGCACGCCGGAAGACCAAGGGUUCCUGUCCAACGUUAAUCGGGGCAGGGUGAGUCGACCCCUAAGGCGAGGCAGAAAUGCGUAGUCGAUGGGAAACGGGUUAAUAUUCCCGUACUGGUGAUAAUUGCGAUGGGGGGACGGAGAAGGCUAGGCUGGCCGGGCGACGGUUGUCCCGGUUUAAGGAUGUAGGCAGGUGAAUUAGGCAAAUCCGGUUCACUAUAUGCUGAGGUCUGAUGACGAGUCACUACGGUGGCGAAGUAGCUCAUGCCCCGCUUCCAGGAAAAG